RNAcentral lists this ribosomal RNA (542 nucleotides) under uncultured Chitinophagaceae bacterium. RNAcentral describes it as "bacterial SSU rRNA". It matches the Rfam family "Bacterial small subunit ribosomal RNA", at positions 355 to 897 of the family's 1533-position model. The record is from RNAcentral. Lineage: Bacteria; Pseudomonadati; Bacteroidota; Chitinophagia; Chitinophagales; Chitinophagaceae.
UAAGGAAUAUUGGGCAAUGGACGCAAGUCUGACCCAGCCAUGCCGCGUGGAGGAUGAAGGUCCUCUGGAUUGUAAACUUCUUUUAUCUGGGAAGAAACCCAUAUUUUCUAGUAUGGUUGACGGUACCAGACGAAUAAGCACCGGCUAACUCCGUGCCAGCAGCCGCGGUAAUACGGAGGGUGCAAGCGUUAUCCGGAUUCACUGGGUUUAAAGGGUGCGUAGGUGGAUUGGUAAGUCCGUGGUGAAAUCCCCGAGCUUAACUUGGGAACUGCCAUGGAUACUAUUAAUCUUGAAUGUCGUGGAGAUGAGCGGAAUAUGUCAUGUAGCGGUGAAAUGCUUAGAUAUGACAUAGAACACCAAUUGCGAAGGCAGCUCGUUACGCGAAUAUUGACACUGAUGCACGAAAGCGUGGGGAUCAAACAGGAUUAGAUACCCUGGUAGUCCACGCCCUAAACGAUGGAUACUCGACAUAUGCGAUACACUGUGUGUGUCUGAGCGAAAGCAUUAAGUAUCCCACCUGGGAAGUACGAUCGCAAGAUUGA